GAUGAACGCUGGCGGCGUGCCUAAUACAUGCAAGUCGAGCGAACAGAUGAGGAGCUUGCUCCUCUGACGUUAGCGGCGGACGGGUGAGUAACACGUGGAUAACCUACCUAUAAGACUGGGAUAACUUCGGGAAACCGGAGCUAAUACCGGAUAAUAUAUUGAACCGCAUGGUUCAAUAGUGAAAGACGGUUUUGCUGUCACUUAUAGAUGGAUCCGCGCCGCAUUAGCUAGUUGGUAAGGUAACGGCUUACCAAGGCAACGAUGCGUAGCCGACCUGAGAGGGUGAUCGGCCACACUGGAACUGAGACACGGUCCAGACGCCUACGGGAGGCAGCAGUAGGGAAUCUUCCGCAAUGGGCGAAAGCCUGACGGAGCAACGCCGCGUGAGUGAUGAAGGUCUUCGGAUCGUAAAACUCUGUUAUUAGGGAAGAACAAAUGUGUAAGUAACUAUGCACGUCUUGACGGUACCUAAUCAGAAAGCCACGGCUAACUACGU
Molecule: ribosomal RNA, 496 nt
Filed under: uncultured bacterium
Lineage: Bacteria
Description: partial 16S ribosomal RNA
Rfam family: Bacterial small subunit ribosomal RNA
Source: RNAcentral